RNAcentral lists this ribosomal RNA (497 nucleotides) under uncultured bacterium. RNAcentral describes it as "partial 16S ribosomal RNA". It matches the Rfam family "Bacterial small subunit ribosomal RNA", at positions 28 to 507 of the family's 1533-position model. The record is from RNAcentral.
GAUGAACGCUGGCGGCGUGCCUAAUACAUGCAAGUCGAGCGAACAGACGAGGAGCUUGCUCCUCUGACGUUAGCGGCGGACGGGUGAGUAACACGUGGAUAACCUACCUAGAAGACUGGGAUAACUUCGGGAAACCGGAGCUAAUACCGGAUAACAUGUUGAACCGCAUGGUUCAACAGUGAAAGACGGUCUUGCUGUCACUUAUAGAUGGAUCCGCGCCGCAUUAGCUAGUUGGUAAGGUAACGGCUUACCAAGGCAACGAUGCGUAGCCGACCUGAGAGGGUGAUCGGCCACACUGGAACUGAGACACGGUCCAGACUCCUACGGGAGGCAGCAGUAGGGAAUCUUCCGCAAUGGGCGAAAGCCUGACGGAGCAACGCCGCGUGAGUGAAGAAGGUCUUCGGAUCGUAAAACUCUGUUAUUAGGGAAGAACAAAUGUGUAAGUAACUAUGCACGUCUUGACGGUACCUAAUCAGAAAGCCACGGCUAACUACGUG